Molecule: ribosomal RNA, 443 nt
Filed under: uncultured bacterium
Lineage: Bacteria
Description: partial 16S ribosomal RNA
Rfam family: Bacterial small subunit ribosomal RNA
Source: RNAcentral
CUACGGGGGGCAGCAGUAACGAAUAUUGGGCAAUGGGCGAAAGCCUGACCCAGCAAUGCCGCGUGCAGGAUGAAGCCCCUCGGGGUGUAAACUGCUUUCAGGAGCUAGAAAGCUCCGGUUGAUCAGCUCCAGAAGAAGUCACGGCUAACUUCGUGCCAGCAGCCGCGGUAAUACGAAGGUGGCAAGCGUUAUUCGAAAUCACUGGGCUUAAAGGGUGCGUAGGCGGACAUGCAAGUGUCUAGUGAAAUCCCCCGGCUUAACCGGGGAAUGGCUGGACAAACUGCAUGUCUUGAGGCAAGUAGGGGUGUGUGGAACUCUUGGUGGAGCGGUGGAAUGCGUAGAUAUCAAGAGGAACGCCGAAGGUGAAGACAGCACACUAGGCUUGUCCUGACGCUGAGGCACGAAAGCGUGGGGAGCAAACAGGAUUAGAUACCCCUGUAGUC